Pistacia vera is the source of this 1091-nucleotide RNA transcript. It is a transcript of the gene named isoamylase 1, chloroplastic-like, with no coding region annotated. Lineage: Eukaryota; Viridiplantae; Streptophyta; Magnoliopsida; Sapindales; Anacardiaceae. The record is from RefSeq and is a predicted model, not a curated record. The transcript is spliced from 4 exons.
CCCAUUUUUUAUUGCUGAGAUAUUUCUCCUUCUCCACCAAAUAACUUCAUUUCAUUUCCUUCAAAAAGCAAGGUACUUAACUCACUCUCUGAACCAAUUCUUGAUUGCAGUCAUCCAAUGAGAACGAGAAUGCGAACCGUUUCUAACUCGAAACCAUUAGCAUUUGCUGACGUUUUCAAAAAUUUAGUCGUCAAAGCGAGAAAAGAAGCCGAGUUGGAAACUGCCAUCAUUGAGAAGCUGAAGCGGCGGUUUAAGGUAUCACAGGGUAAUCCGACUCCGUUUGGAGCAAUUGCUCGAGACGGUAGAGUCAAUUUUUGUAUAUUUUCUAGCAAUGCGGUUUCCGCUACUCUUUGCUUGAUCACUCUCUCCGAUUUGCAAGAGGGUAGAGUCACUGAAGAAAUCUUCCUUGAUCCUUUUAUUAAUUAAAUUGGAGAUGUGUGGCAUGUAUUUGUUAAAGGAGAUUUUAAAGACAUGUUGUAUGGAUGCAAAUUUGAUGGCAAGUUUUCUCCUGAGCGAGGACAGUAUUAUGACUCUUCCAAAAUAGUAUUGGAUCCGUAUGCGAAAGCAGUUAUCACUCAGUAGAGGGCAGUUUGGCGUUCCGGCGCCUGAUGAUAAUUGCUGGCCUCAAAUGGUCUGCAUGGUGCGUAAUUCUGAGGAUGAGGGUAAAUUUUUGGGGGUAUUCCACUGUCAACUACUUUUCUCCUAUGAUAAGAUAUUCAUAUAAUGGUACAUGUAAUUGUGGCCGUGAUGCUAUUAAUGAAUUCAACCUUCUUAUUAAGGAAUCACAGAUAUGAAGAAUUGAGGUGAUACCUGGUCUCAGUAACAAGGAGCAUUUCUUUUCAGUAAUUAACAGUUUUCCAUAUCUAAUUUUCUUUAGCAGGUGUUCAUGGAUGUUGUAUUCAAUCACACAACUGAGGGCAAUGAGAAAGGUCUUACUUUGUCUUUUAGAGGUGUUGAUAAUAGUGUUUAUUACAUGUUGGCCCCUAAGGUACUAUUUUUGACACAUUGCUCCUAUAUAUACACCUUCACUUGAUUCUGGUGUUGUUUAAUUAAUGGUCAUUCUAUUUGAUGUGUAUUUGAAUUCCUAAAUA